RNAcentral lists this ribosomal RNA (429 nucleotides) under bacterium. Its description in RNAcentral is "partial 16S ribosomal RNA". It matches the Rfam family "Bacterial small subunit ribosomal RNA", at positions 355 to 776 of the family's 1533-position model. The record is from RNAcentral.
UAGGGAAUCUUCGGCACUGGGGGCAACCCUGACCGAGCAACGCCGCGUGAGUGAAGAAGGUUUUCGGAUCGUAAAGCUCUGUUGAAAGAGAAGAACGUGUGUGAGAGUGGAAAGUUCACACAGUGACGGUAACUUACCAGAAAGGGACGGCUAACUACGUGCCAGCAGCCGCGGUAAUACGUAGGUCCCGAGCGUUGUCCGGAUUUAUUGGGCGUAAAGCGAGCGCAGGCGGUUUAAUAAGUCUGAAGUUAAAGGCAGUGGCUUAACCAUUGUUCGCUUUGGAAACUGUUAAACUUGAGUGCAGAAGGGGAGAGUGGAAUUCCAUGUGUAGCGGUGAAAUGCGUAGAUAUAUGGAGGAACACCGGUGGCGAAAGCGGCUCUCUGGUCUGUAACUGACGCUGAGGCUCGAAAGCGUGGGGAGCAAACAGG